GCCAACACGCCCACGCAGCAGAGCAGAAAAAGGGCGACUGUUACGUGAGCAGGUGUAGAGGGAGGAGAGGGGGCAAGGCGCUCGGUCAGUCACUCCGUCAGUCAGUCAGUCCGUCAGUUAGUUAUGCAAGUAAUCAGUCAGUUAGUUGUUCAGGUAAUUAGUCAGUCAGUCAGUUAAUUGUUUAGGUAGUCAGUCAGUAAGUCAGUUAGUUGUGGAGGCAGUCAAUCAGUCAGUCAGUCAGUUAGUUGUUCAGGUAGUCAGUCAGUUGAUUGUUUAGGUAGUCAGUCAGUAAGUCAGUUAGUUGUGGAGGUAGUAAAUCAGUCAGUCAGUCAGUUAGUUGUUCAGGUAGUCAGUCAGUUGAUUGUUUAGGUAGUCAGUCAGUAAGUCAGUUAGUUGUGGAGGCAGUCAAUCAGUUAGUCAGUCAGUUAGUUGUUCAGGUAGUCAGUCAGUUGAUUGUUUAGGUAGUCAGUCAGUAAGUCAGUUAGUUGUGGAGGUAGUAAAUCAGUCAGUCAGUCAGUUAGUUGUUCAGGUAGUCAGUCAGUCAGUUAGUUAGUUGUUCAGGUAGUCAGUCAGUCAGUUAGAUAUGCAGGUAGUCAGUCAGUCAGUCAGUUAGAUAUGCAGGUAGUCAGUCAGUCAGUCAGUUAGAUAUGCAGGUAGUCAGUCAGUCAGUUAGUUAGAUAUGCAGGUAGUCAGUCAGUCAGUCAGUUAGAUAUGCAGGUAGUCAGUCAGUCAGUCAGUUAGUUAGAUAUGCAGGUAGUCAGUCAGUCAGUUAGUUAGAUAUGCAGGUAGUCAGUCAGUCAGUUAGUUAGAUAUGCAGGUAGUCAGUCAGUCAGUUAGUUAGAUAUGCAGGUAGUCAGUCAGUCAGUUAGUUAGAUAUGCAGGUAGUCAGUCAGUCAGUCAGUUAGAUAGACAUGCAGUCAGUCAGUCAGUCACAUUUAGUCAGACAUCUAGAUAGGCAGAAAAAUAGAUAGGUAUGGAGAUGGAUAAACAGAUAGAUGGACAGACAGACAGAUAGACAGGCAGAUAGAUAGAUAAACAGACAGACAGACAGGAAGAUAGACAGCCGAGAGAAUUAAAAAGGAAGAAAAAAUGAAAGAACGAAUUGAAUGUCUAUAUAGCAUAACCGCAGGGUGUAUAAACGGCCUCAAGUAGUAGUAGUAGUAGUAGUAGUAGUAGUAGUAGUAGCAGCAAUAGUAGUAGUAGUAGUAGUAGUAGGAGUAGUAGUAGCCUAUAUAUAGUAUAGUCCGGCAAAUCUUAAGGUGGAAGGUCCUUAUUAUGGUCGAAAAAAUCAAUUUUUUGAAAAUCUCAGUAUGAACUUGCGAGGCUGGUGCCGAGGUAAUGCGCCGCACUGCCAAGCGUUAGAGCGUCAUGGUGGCCUUUAAUUAAAUACCUACUACCCUACGCACGGGGGAUUUAAACAUAUAUACUGUCACUUCUCUUUGUGUAUCUUCUAUUUGCAUCCUUUUUUCCGAUUUUUUUGUGAUUAUAUGUAAUUAUGGUACUGUAUGAUAGUCUCUCCACAUCUCCACGCGAGAAGAGUGAGUGUGUAGCGGGGCCGGGGAGGCAGUAUUGAUUUUGUGGAGGGGGAGGGUAAACGCGCUUUGCAUUCACACGUGCGUUUCUUUUUCGCCAGCUUAUACCGUCUUCCAGUGGAUUUUCAGACAGCAUGGGGAAGCGGAAAGCAAAGGUAAUGAAGAGGAGUGAGGCUGCAAAGAAACGUAUGAACGUGUACUGGGAGAAAGUGAAAGAGGAAAAUAUAUUGUGAGCACACCUUCUCCGUAGCAGUGACCUGAGAUGACCUGAAAGAGCUUCCUUGGAAAUCUGACCUCUUGAACAUUAUCAGAAGAGUUAGAUAAGGAACGAGACAUAGUUUUGUUGUGCUAGAAAACAUCUCUGUACCGUACAUUGUCACCUAAACAUAAAAGUGAGUUUUUCUCAAAAUGAAAAUUAUAAUGUAAAGAAUUAUAUAUCUCAACUUGUAUUAGGACGAUUUUUUUUUCAGCAUAGUACUGAGAAAAGAAUGAUCUACAAACCUACAUAUUAAGAUUCGUUAAUGUCGAAGUUUGUAGGAUCUGUGAUUUUUUUUUUCGGUAGUUUUUACAGAAAAAAAUUGCCACUUGAAUUGAUUUUGUUUUGUGCACUUAUUAUUUGCGAUAUACAAAUGAUAAUAUGUAGUAUUGUUCCGUUGAGUGUCUUUUAAACCUCAUAUAAAGGAUAUUCCUUUACUUUGAAUAGUUUUCUGUGAAUACGAAUUUUUUUGAGAAUAUGUAAAACUUAAAAAAAAAAAAAAAAUCCAUCAAUUUUUAUGAAAAUUAUAUCAGGGAUACCUCACAGUCUAGUGUUUAAACUAUAAACAAAUCAUUAGUCUAGACGAAAAAUUACGCCCGCAGGAGAUCAAAAUGUCCGAACACGACCGUAAAUAUGACUUUCCCCCUUAAAUGGCGGCUCCUACUGAUCUCGCGCACCGUGCCUGUCUCUCUCUCUCUCUCUCUCUCUCUCUCUC
Molecule: long non-coding RNA, 2503 nt
Organism: Eriocheir sinensis (Chinese mitten crab)
Lineage: Eukaryota; Metazoa; Arthropoda; Malacostraca; Decapoda; Varunidae
Exons: 3
Source: RefSeq, a predicted model, not a curated record